Molecule: ribosomal RNA, 708 nt
Filed under: uncultured bacterium
Lineage: Bacteria
Description: bacterial SSU rRNA
Rfam family: Bacterial small subunit ribosomal RNA
Source: RNAcentral
ACGGGUGAGUAAUACAUAAGCAACCUACCCACGAAGACUGGGAUAAUCUCUGGAAACGGGGACUAAUACCGGAUAGGUAAUCGGAAGGCAUCUUCUGAUUAUUAAAGGUUAAAAACACUGGUGGAUGGGCUUAUGGCGCAUUAGUUAGUUGGUGAGGUAACGGCCCACCAAGACGAUGAUGCGUAGCCGGCCUGAGAGGGUGAACGGCCACAUUGGGACUGAGACACGGCCCAGACUCCUACGGGAGGCAGCAGUAGGGAAUUUUCGGCAAUGGGGGAAACCCUGACCGAGCAACGCCGCGUGAGUGAUGACGGCCUUCGGGUUGUAAAGCUCUGUUGUAAGGGAAGAACGGUAGAUAGAGAAUAUCUAAGUGACGGUACCUUACCAGAAAGCCACGGCUAACUACGUGCCAGCAGCCGCGGUAAUACGUAGGUGGCGAGCGUUAUCCGGAAUUAUUGGGCGUAAAGGGUGCGUAGGCGGCCUGUUAAGUAAGUGGUUAAAUUGUUGGGCUCAACCCAAUCCAGCCACUUAAACUGGCAGGCUAGAGUAUUGGAGAGGCAAGUGGAAUUCCAUGUGUAGCGGUAAAAUGCGUAGAUAUAUGGAGGAACACCAGUGGCGAAGGCGGCUUGCUAGCCAAAGACUGACGCUCAUGCACGAAAGCGUGGGGAGCAAAUAGGAUUAGAUACCCUAGUAGUCCACGCCGUAAAC